Long non-coding RNA from Nematolebias whitei (Rio pearlfish), 159 nucleotides. RefSeq lists it as uncharacterized. The record is from RefSeq and is a predicted model, not a curated record. NCBI's taxonomy places the organism in Eukaryota, Metazoa, Chordata, Actinopteri, Cyprinodontiformes, Rivulidae. The transcript is spliced from 3 exons.
UUGUCUAGUUUGCUGUGUAGAAGUGCUUCUUAAGGAGAAUUCUGGGGAGACUUCUUGCUCUUUCAUUCCUCAAGGAUGAAGCAGCAGAGUGAACCAGCGUACUGAAGCAGCUCCCACUUUCAAACUUCAACGUGAGGAUGAACAAACAUGAGCAAAGGU